AUUUUAGUUUAGAGAAGAAUUCUUUCUUUCGAACCGUCGGCACUCGUGUACCAUUGCAUAGGCCGACAUUGACUACCCCAUUCCCAUUCUUUCUCGAUGCGGAUCAAAGCCUAGUUUCGUAGCCAAGGGGCGAAGACGUGACCCAGUUCUUUGAACUCUCCCUUCCCGUUGAUUAGCAUUCAUCUUAGCUAGAAAAAAGGUAUACCCAAUUCGAAUUCUCUUUUCACGAAUCCUAGUUAGUUAGCUUCUCUUAGCUAGAAAAAAGGUAUACCCAAUUCAAAUUCUCUUUUCACGAAUCCUAGUUAGUUAGCUUGGCACUAGGAGUUGUCUAA
Molecule: long non-coding RNA, 332 nt
Filed under: Nicotiana benthamiana
Lineage: Eukaryota; Viridiplantae; Streptophyta; Magnoliopsida; Solanales; Solanaceae
Description: long non-coding RNA (NBEN_LNC011767)
Source: RNAcentral